UGCCCCGCGGGGAUCCUAAGGAUAAUGUUCUCACCGUCGGAGACCGUUCCCUCGCUUGAGAGACUGUUACAACGAUUAUGAAACGCACAUCCUCGCAGCGCGAUAAACCGCGGCUUUUCAAUAGGUUGUUCUAAAUAGACGACCGUCUCCAACGCCUUUUGCGACAUUUGUCAAACCCGUCUUCAGGUUAGAGACGAUAACACCGAUAACAACACCCACAGCGGUAACGACAGCAGCGACUGUAAAUCCGUAUUUCU
Nematostella vectensis (starlet sea anemone) is the source of this 257-nucleotide long non-coding RNA. RefSeq lists it as uncharacterized. The record is from RefSeq and is a predicted model, not a curated record. Lineage: Eukaryota; Metazoa; Cnidaria; Anthozoa; Actiniaria; Edwardsiidae. The transcript is spliced from 2 exons.